GACGUGAGGGGCGAGCGUUACUCGGAAUCACUGGGCGUAAAGGACACGCAGGCGGCCAUACAAGUCAAGUGUUAAAGACCGAGGCUUAACCUCGGGAAGGCACUUGAUACUGUAUGGCUUGGUGCUAGGGGAGGGAGGUGGAAUGCCCGGUGUAAGGGUAAAAUCUGUAGAUAUCGGGUAGAACGCCGAAGGCGAAGGCAGCCUCCUAUCCUAGUCACGACGCUCAGGUGUGAAAGCUGGGGGAGCAAACAGG
Molecule: ribosomal RNA, 253 nt
Filed under: uncultured bacterium
Lineage: Bacteria
Description: partial 16S ribosomal RNA
Rfam family: Bacterial small subunit ribosomal RNA
Source: RNAcentral